GUAGUCAUAUGCUUGUCUCAAAGAUUAAGCCAUGCAUGUCUAAGUAUAAGCAAUCUAUACUGUGAAACUGCGAAUGGCUCAUUAAAUCAGUUAUCGUUUAUUUGAUAGUACCUUACUACUUGGAUAACCGUGGUAAUUCUAGAGCUAAUACAUGCUAAAAACCCCAACUCACGAAGGGGUGUAUUUAUUAGAUUAAAAACCAAUGCCCUUCGGGGCUCUUUAGUGAUUCAUAAUAACUUAACGAAUCGCAUGGCCUUGUGCCGGCGAUGGUUCAUUCAAAUUUCUGCCCUAUCAACUUUCGAUGGCAGGGUCUUGGCCUGCCAUGGUUACAACGGGUAACGGGGAAUGA
Molecule: ribosomal RNA, 349 nt
Filed under: Hypoxylon fragiforme
Lineage: Eukaryota; Fungi; Ascomycota; Sordariomycetes; Xylariales; Hypoxylaceae
Description: SSU rRNA
Rfam family: Eukaryotic small subunit ribosomal RNA
Source: RNAcentral